AGAGUUUGAUCCUGGCUCAGGAUGAACGCUAGCUACAGGCUUAACACAUGCAAGUCGAGGGGAAACGACAUCGAAAGCUUGCUUUUGAUGGGCGUCAACCGGCGCACGGGUGAGUAACACGUAUCCAACCUGCCCACCACUUGGGGAUAACCUUGCGAAAGUAAGACUAAUACCCAAUGACGUCUCUAGAAGACAUCUGAAAGAGAUUAAAGAUUUAUCGGUGAUGGAUGGGGAUGCGUCUGAUUAGCUUGUUGGCGGGGUAACGGCCACCAAGGCGACGAUCAGUAGGGGUUCUGAGAGGAAGGUCCCCCACAUUGGAACUGAGACACGGUCCAAACUCCUACGGGAGCA
This 351-nucleotide ribosomal RNA is filed under the name uncultured bacterium. RNAcentral describes it as "bacterial SSU rRNA". It matches the Rfam family "Bacterial small subunit ribosomal RNA", at positions 8 to 349 of the family's 1533-position model. The record is from RNAcentral.